GUCUACAGCCAUGCCCUGAACGUGCCCGAUCUUGUCUGAUCUCAGAAGCUAAGCAGGGUCGGGCUUGGUUAGUACUUGGAUGGAAGACUACCUAGGAAUGCCAGGUGCUGGGGGGC
RNAcentral lists this ribosomal RNA (116 nucleotides) under Pteropus alecto (black flying fox). The record is from RNAcentral. Lineage: Eukaryota; Metazoa; Chordata; Mammalia; Chiroptera; Pteropodidae.